RNAcentral lists this non-coding RNA (23 nucleotides) under Callorhinchus milii (elephant shark). RNAcentral also lists the same sequence under 48 other names. Lineage: Eukaryota; Metazoa; Chordata; Chondrichthyes; Chimaeriformes; Callorhinchidae. The record is from RNAcentral.
UAGCACCAUUUGAAAUCAGUGUU